RNAcentral lists this ribosomal RNA (801 nucleotides) under uncultured bacterium. RNAcentral describes it as "bacterial SSU rRNA". It matches the Rfam family "Bacterial small subunit ribosomal RNA", at positions 60 to 821 of the family's 1533-position model. The record is from RNAcentral.
AGUCGAGCGAGUCUGCCUUGAAGAUCGGAGUGCUUGCACUCUGUGAAACAAGAUACAGGCUAGCGGCGGACGGGUGAGUAACACGUGGGUAACCUGCCCAAGAGAUCGGGAUAACACCUGGAAACAGAUGCUAAUACCGGAUAACAACAGAUGAUGCCUAUCAACUGUUUAAAAGAUGGUUCUGCUAUCACUCUUGGAUGGACCUGCGGUGCAUUAGCUAGUUGGUAGGGUAACGGCCUACCAAGGCGAUGAUGCAUAGCCGAGUUGAGAGACUGAUCGGCCACAUUGGGACUGAGACACGGCCCAAACUCCUACGGGAGGCAGCAGUAGGGAAUCUUCCACAAUGGACGCAAGUCUGAUGGAGCAACGCCGCGUGAGUGAAGAAGGGUUUCGGCUCGUAAAGCUCUGUUGUUGGUGAAGAAGGACAGGGGUAGUAACUGACCUUUGUUUGACGGUAAUCAAUUAGAAAGUCACGGCUAACUACGUGCCAGCAGCCGCGGUAAUACGUAGGUGGCAAGCGUUGUCCGGAUUUAUUGGGCGUAAAGCGAGUGCAGGCGGCUCGAUAAGUCUGAUGUGAAAGCCUUCGGCUCAACCGGAGAAUUGCAUCAGAAACUGUCGAGCUUGAGUACAGAAGAGGAGAGUGGAACUCCAUGUGUAGCGGUGAAAUGCGUAGAUAUAUGGAAGAACACCGGUGGCGAAGGCGGCUCUCUGGUCUGUUACUGACGCUGAGGCUCGAAAGCAUGGGUAGCGAACAGGAUUAGAUACCCUGGUAGUCCAUGCCGUANACGAUGAGUGCUAAGU